CGGGACACGUGGUAUCCUGUCUGAAUAUGGGGGGACCAUCCUCCAAGGCUAAAUACUCCUGACUGACCGAUAGUGAACCAGUACCGUGAGGGAAAGGCGAAAAGAACCCCGGCGAGGGGAGUGAAAAAGAACCUGAAACCGUGUACGUACAAGCAGUGGGAGCACGCUUAGGCGUGUGACUGCGUACCUUUUGUAUAAUGGGUCAGCGACUUAUAUUCUGUAGCAAGGUUAACCGAAUAGGGGAGCCGAAGGGAAACCGAGUCUUAACUGGGCGUUAAGUUGCAGGGUAUAGACCCGAAACCCGGUGAUCUAGCCAUGGGCAGGUUGAAGGUUGGGUAACACUAACUGGAGGACCGAACCGACUAAUGUUGAAAAAUUAGCGGAUGACUUGUGGCUGGGGGUGAAAGGCCAAUCAAACCGGGAGAUAGCUGGUUCUCCCCGAAAGCUAUUUAGGUAGCGCCUCGUGAAUUCAUCUCCGGGGGUAGAGCACUGUUUCGGCAAGGGGGUCAUCCCGACUUACCAACCCGAUGCAAACUGCGAAUACCGGAGAAUGUUAUCACGGGAGACACACGGCGGGUGCUAACGUCCGUCGUGAAGAGGGAAACAACCCAGACCGCCAGCUAAGGUCCCAAAGUCAUGGUUAAGUGGGAAACGAUGUGGGAAGGCCCAGACAGCCAGGAUGUUGGCUUAGAAGCAGCCAUCAUUUAAAGAAAGCGUAAUAGCUCACUGGUCGAGUCGGCCUGCGCGGAAGAUGUAACGGGGCUAAACCAUGCACCGAAGCUGCGGCAGCGACGCUGAUGCGUUGUUGGGUAGGGGAGCGUUCUGUAAGCCUGUGAAGGUGUGCUGUGAGGCAUGCUGGAGGUAUCAGAAGUGCGAAUGCUGACAUAAGUAACGAUAAAGCGGGUGAAAAGCCCGCUCGCCGGAAGACCAAGGGUUCCUGUCCAACGUUAAUCGGGGCAGGGUGAGUCGACCCCUAAGGCGAGGCCGAAAGGCGUAGUCGAUGGGAAACAGGUUAAUAUUCCUGUACUUGGUGUUACUGCGAAGGGGGGACGGAGAAGGCUAUGUUGGCCGGGCGACGGUUGUCCCGGUUUAAGCGUGUAGGCUGGUUUUCCAGGCAAAUCCGGAAAAUCAAGGCUGAGGCGUGAUGACGAGGCACUACGGUGCUGAAGCAACAAAUGCCCUGCUUCCAGGAAAAGCCUCUAAGCAUCAGGUAACAUCAAAUCGUACCCCAAACCGACACAGGUGGUCAGGUAGAGAAUACCAAGGCGCUUGAGAGAACUCGGGUGAAGGAACUAGGCAAAAUGGUGCCGUAACUUCGGGAGAAGGCACGCUGAUAUGUAGGUGAAGCGACUUGCUCGUGGAGCUGAAAUCAGUCGAAGAUACCAGCUGGCUGCAACUGUUUAUUAAAAACACAGCACUGUGCAAACACGAAAGUGGACGUAUACGGUGUGACGCCUGCCCGGUGCCGGAAGGUUAAUUGAUGGGGUCAGCGCAAGCGAAGCUCUUGAUCGAAGCCCCGGUAAACGGCGGCCGUAACUAUAACGGUCCUAAGGUAGCGAAAUUCCUUGUCGGGUAAGUUCCGACCUGCACGAAUGGCGUAAUGAUGGCCAGGCUGUCUCCACCCGAGACUCAGUGAAAUUGAACUCGCUGUGAAGAUGCAGUGUACCCGCGGCAAGACGGAAAGACCCCGUGAACCUUUACUAUAGCUUGACACUGAACAUUGAGCCUUGAUGUGUAGGAUAGGUGGGAGGCUUUGAAGUGUGGACGCCAGUCUGCAUGGAGCCGACCUUGAAAUACCACCCUU
RNAcentral lists this ribosomal RNA (1804 nucleotides) under Escherichia coli. RNAcentral describes it as "partial 23S ribosomal RNA". It matches the Rfam family "Bacterial large subunit ribosomal RNA", at positions 418 to 2207 of the family's 2925-position model. Lineage: Bacteria; Pseudomonadati; Pseudomonadota; Gammaproteobacteria; Enterobacterales; Enterobacteriaceae. The record is from RNAcentral.